CCGCUUGUGCGGGCCCCCGUCAAUUCCUUUGAGUUUCAGCCUUGCGGCCGUACUCCCCAGGCGGAAUGCUUAAUGCGUUAGCUGCAGCACUGAAGGGCGGAAACCCUCCAACACUUAGCAUUCAUCGUUUACGGUAUGGACUACCAGGGUAUCUAAUCCUGUUUGCUACCCAUACUUUCGAGCCUCAGCGUCAGUUACAGACCAGACAGCCGCCUUCGCCACUGGUGUUCUUCCAUAUAUCUACGCAUUUCACCGCUACACAUGGAGUUCCACUGUCCUCUUCUGCACUCAAGUUUCCCAGUUUCCGAUGCACUUCUUCGGUUGAGCCGAAGGCUUUCACAUCAGACUUAAAAAACCGCCUGCGCUCGCUUUACGCCCAAUAAAUCCGGACAACGCUUGCCACCUACGUAUUACCGCGGCUGCUGGCACGUAGUUAGCCGUGGCUUUCUGGUUAAAUACCGUCAAUACCUGAACAGUUACUCUCAGAUAUGUUCUUCUUUAACAACAGAGUUUUACGAGCCGAAACCCUUCUUCACUCACGCGGCGUUGCUCCAUCAGACUUUCGUCCAUUGUGGAAGAUUCCCUACUGCUGCCUCCCGUAGGAGUUUGGGCCGUGUCUCAGUCCCAAUGUGGCCGAUUACCCUCUCAGGUCGGCUACGUAUCAUUGCCAUGGUGAGCCGUUACCUCACCAUCUAGCUAAUACGCCGCGGGACCAUCCAAAAGUGAUAGCCGAAGCCAUCUUUCAAACUCGGACCAUGCGGUCCAAGUUGUUAUGCGGUAUUAGCAUCUGUUUCCAGGUGUUAUCCCCCGCUUCUGGGCAGGUUUCCCACGUGUUACUCACCAGUUCGCCACUCACUCAAAUGUAAUUCAUGAUGCAAGCACCAAUCAUUACCAGAGUUCGUUCGACUGCAUAAUAG
This 917-nucleotide ribosomal RNA is filed under the name Lactiplantibacillus plantarum. RNAcentral's name for it is "Lactobacillus plantarum partial 16S ribosomal RNA". The record is from RNAcentral. Lineage: Bacteria; Bacillati; Bacillota; Bacilli; Lactobacillales; Lactobacillaceae.